This 465-nucleotide ribosomal RNA is filed under the name Vreelandella stevensii. RNAcentral describes it as "partial 16S ribosomal RNA". It matches the Rfam family "Bacterial small subunit ribosomal RNA", at positions 338 to 795 of the family's 1533-position model. Lineage: Bacteria; Pseudomonadati; Pseudomonadota; Gammaproteobacteria; Oceanospirillales; Halomonadaceae. The record is from RNAcentral.
CCUACGGGCGGCAGCAGUGGGGAAUAUUGGACAAUGGGCGAAAGCCUGAUCCAGCCAUGCCGCGUGUGUGAAGAAGGCCUUCGGGUUGUAAAGCACUUUCAGUGGGGAAGAAAGCCUUGGGGCUAAUACCCUCGAGGAAGGACAUCACCCACAGAAGAAGCACCGGCUAACUCCGUGCCAGCAGCCGCGGUAAUACGGAGGGUGCGAGCGUUAAUCGGAAUUACUGGGCGUAAAGCGCGCGUAGGCGGUCUGAUAAGCCGGUUGUGAAAGCCCCGGGCUCAACCUGGGAACGGCAUCCGGAACUGUCAGGCUAGAGUGCAGGAGAGGAAGGUAGAAUUCCCGGUGUAGCGGUGAAAUGCGUAGAGAUCGGGAGGAAUACCAGUGGCGAAGGCGGCCUUCUGGACUGACACCGACGCUGAGGUGCGAAAGCGUGGGUAGCAAACAGGAUUAGAUACCCGAGUAGUC